CUAUCUGAUCUGUACUUUCAGUGAUGUUCAUGAAAACAUGUUGGUGUACUCAGUGUGACUCAUCAGAUGUCUUCAACACUAGACACAGGGUUUAGCGAUGAGACUGUUUCAGCUGCAAAAGCAAAAUAUUUGUUCCUCUCCUGUAAAUCUCAUGGAAAUGUCACCAAAAUGGCAACAGAGGAGGUUCCUGUGCUUUGCUCCAAGAGGAACAACUAAGAAUUAACAGUGAAGACAUGACAGUGAGAAGCAUCACAGCUCAAGGUGGACAGAAGCGCCCUCUUAUACCCCCAGAAAACAGCACGGCUUACACCAGAGGGGAACUGGAGGACACUGAUGGUUCCUUGGAGAGAAGAGACACAGAGGAGCUGAUCUUCUUCAGGGAGGCCCUGAAGGUUAAUCUGGACAGACAUCAAAUAGGGGCAGAGUUGAGGACUGGAGCCAUACUGGUAUACAAUCUCAAGUUUCCUGACACUGAGGUUAAAAGUUUCUU
Erinaceus europaeus (western European hedgehog) is the source of this 490-nucleotide long non-coding RNA. RefSeq lists it as uncharacterized. The record is from RefSeq and is a predicted model, not a curated record. Lineage: Eukaryota; Metazoa; Chordata; Mammalia; Eulipotyphla; Erinaceidae. The transcript is spliced from 3 exons.